UAAUCAUUUGUCUAUUAAUUGUAGACCAGUAUGAAAGGCAAAAUGAGGGUCCGUCUGUCUCUUACAAUAAAUCAAUUAAACUGAUCUCCUAGUAAAAAAGCUAGAAUCCACACACAAGACCAGAAGACCCUGUGAAGCUUAAACUAAACUAUUAAACCCUAUAAUACCUACUUUCGGUUGGGGCGACCUUGGAAAAAAAAAGAACUUCCAAAUAUAUGACCACACUCAUACACAGGCCUACAAGCCUUAUAUAGACCCAGUAUAGCUGAUAAUUGAACCAAGUUACUCCAGGGAUAACAGCGCUAUCUUCUUCAAGAGUCCAUAUCAAAAAGAAGGUUUACGACCUCGAUGUUGGAUCAGGACAUCCUAAUGGUGCAACCGCUAUUAAGGGUU
RNAcentral lists this ribosomal RNA (393 nucleotides) under Sibon nebulatus (cloudy snail-eating snake). Its description in RNAcentral is "partial 16S ribosomal RNA". It matches the Rfam family "Bacterial large subunit ribosomal RNA", at positions 1962 to 2573 of the family's 2925-position model. Lineage: Eukaryota; Metazoa; Chordata; Lepidosauria; Squamata; Dipsadidae. The record is from RNAcentral.